UUCGAUUUUAGAAGAAGAUAACUAGGGACUAUAGAGGGGGCCAGAAAAAAGACAAUGAAUUCUAGAAUAUAAUCUGGAACCAGAGAAGGAUGGAGAGCCAAAGAAAGUGAAGCCAGAUGCAGAAGUGGACGUCUUCAUCUUCAAUAACACUGAAAAGAAUGUGAAACUUUCCCUAAGAUGAAGAAGUGAAGCAAAAUGGGAGGCAACAGGAAGUGGUCUGAGACACUGGGCAUGGCUUGACCACAUAUGAUACCUCAUAGCCCAUCUCCAGAGUGAUAAAGUCCUCCAACAAGGCAAAUCUACUCCAACAAAGCCACACUUCCUAAGAGUACUACUCCCUUUGAGGACCAUUUUCUUUCAAACCAACACAGGUCACUGAAAACAGGACAGAGGCUGUGAGCUAGGUCCUCUGCUAACUGCUAACCAGACUAUGUUAUUUACAGGCACCAAUUCCCCAUUAACAAGACCUAUAACCCAAUCAGAGCAAGAUACACAAAGGACAGACAGUCCUUCACAGACACUGGUCUUCCUGAAGGAGCAGCUGAGAGCAGAUGUAAUGUGAACCCUCGGCUCCACUUUGGGCUGGCUGAGCUAAGAGCAGAAGCAGGGAUGUUGGCAGAGAUUCAGUGAGCACAAGGGAUUCAUGAGAACCAAGUGGGCAGCAAAGACCAGACCAGAUGUGGAGACUGAUUCUUAUUUUAAUGUGCAUACCAACAAGCUGAUCAGAGCCUAAGCAAAGAAGAAACACACUAGUGGCCUGUAAACACCAGAAGACCCCAUGGAGACUUGGUGUCCUCCUGCAGCAUGGACAGUUGCGGCACCAUGAUCCUCAUGAGUGGAAGGGGCAGAAUAUGGAAAGUGAAAGAAAGAGAAAUGAUGUGAACAAAAUAAAGCUUGUAAACAGAAUUGAAUCACAAGGUUUUUUAUUUCGUUUCCUUUCUCGCCAGACCAUUUAUGGAAAAAACAGUUUUCAUAAUUCUGCAAUGCUGUUCUCUGCCAACAUAUGUGCAGAAUGCUUCUAGAGUCAUUCACUCAGACUAUCCAUCCACACUGCUUAACAAAUGAAAACAGUUGCUGCUUUAGUUCAUAUCUUGUGUUCCAUCCAGAAAAUAUUCGAAAGGACAGUUUUUCUAGGACAAA
This 1140-nucleotide long non-coding RNA is filed under the name Cricetulus griseus (Chinese hamster). Its description in RNAcentral is "lncRNA (ENSCGRG00015036827.1)". The record is from RNAcentral. Lineage: Eukaryota; Metazoa; Chordata; Mammalia; Rodentia; Cricetidae.